This 254-nucleotide ribosomal RNA is filed under the name uncultured bacterium. Its description in RNAcentral is "partial 16S ribosomal RNA". It matches the Rfam family "Bacterial small subunit ribosomal RNA", at positions 524 to 776 of the family's 1533-position model. The record is from RNAcentral.
UACGAAGGGGGCUAGCGUUGUUCGGAAUCACUGGGCGUAAAGCGCACGCAGGCGGAUCGUUAAGUCAGGGGCGAAAUCCCGAGGCUCAACCUCGGAACUGCCUUUGAUACUGGCGAUCUUUGAGUCCGGGAGAGGUGAGUGGAACUCCGAGUGUAGAGGUGAAAUUCGUAGAUAUUCGGAAGAACACCAGUGGCGAAGGCGGCUCACUGGCCCGGUACUGACGCUCAGGUGCGAAAGCGUGGGGAGCAAACAGG